RNAcentral lists this long non-coding RNA (1334 nucleotides) under Brachypodium distachyon (stiff brome). Its description in RNAcentral is "long non-coding RNA (BDIS_LNC000014)". Lineage: Eukaryota; Viridiplantae; Streptophyta; Magnoliopsida; Poales; Poaceae. The record is from RNAcentral.
GUUAUCGUGCCGUGUUGCUGUGCCUACUACCACUGUUCAAGCCUGUGUAACGACGAGCCGGUACCACCGGGGAGAUCUACCCCCACUUUCGUGUGCACAAGUUUGCCCCUCCCACCUCUCUCUCUGUUAGUUAAUUAUUAUACUUUAAGUUAAAAGUGGGGAUUAACAGUAUAGUUUUUAUAACUUUUGCUUUUCUCUCCCUCUCUUGUUUUUUGUCGGAUAUCCAGAUUCUUUUCUUUUUACAAGAGGAAUGCCUUGUCAGUACUUAAUAUCUCGUCAAUAUUUAGUACAUUAUGGUACAUGACAUGUACCUUAUCAGUUUUUAAGUACCUCGUGUACAUGGACUUAUGAAAGGAGUACAUCAUGUGGUACAUCAUAUUUAUAAAAAAAAAAUCACAGUGUAAGCAUCUAUCAAAAGUCGGUACCUCUUAUAAAACGAGUACAUCGUACGAUACAUCAUAUGUACCUUAACAGUUUGUAAGUACCUUGUCAUAUGAAAACUGUGUACAUCAACUCAUAACUAUACAUCAUGUAACAGCACAAAAUCACCAAGAAACAAGAAACAAAUAAUUAGUAUGUCGUCAUGUAAUGAUGUUACUCAAGAAUCACAACACAAACAUUCAAAGAAAAAACUACAAGAUCUAAAAGCAAAAAAAACAAGACGGCGGCCCAAGAGAAUUAACAAGGACCCAUCGAUAAUAAAUUACAUCACAGCACAUGAUAAGCACCUAAGUAUCUCCUCAAUCCUCUAGUACCCCAUGGGCAUCACGCAAAUCAAUCCUCACCUGCGCCGCCCUUUGGGUACAUAGAUCAAAUUCGCACCAGAAAAUCCAAAAGCUACCAAGUCAACGGAGAUAACAACGAUGGAGAUGGGGACGGAGACCCGCGGCGGCGGCAGCCUUGCGCUAGACGCUGCGUGGAGAUGAUGCAGAGGAUGGCCAGGAUGUCGCGCUCGAGCACGAACUGGACCUCCUCGGGGGGUCGCGGGGCUGGCUCCUGGUCGGACGCUACGAGCUCGGCCGCGUCCACGGUGGCUGCGUCUGUACAGCAGCCAUGGCGGGCGCGGGCAGAGGCAGGUGCGGGCAGCGCUUCCUCAGUUCCUCCAUCUCUGGCUCAGCUCUGCUGCUCCCCUCCUCUCUUCUCUUCUCCUCGCUGAGAUGCGCACACCAAGCAAACACCGUGAGACGAGAGAGAUGGGAGAGAAGUAAGGACGUGGGUGGCAGAGGAAGGAGUCAGGAAUUAGGCAUAGAAAUUAAAAAGAGAGAGUGGACAGGUGUGUGGUAGAGAAUGUGGGGUAGAUGCUCUGUUCAUCCAUCCUUGGGCUUCAGUAGCAA